RNAcentral lists this unclassified non-coding RNA (171 nucleotides) under uncultured fungus. RNAcentral's name for it is "sequence contains ITS1". The record is from RNAcentral. Lineage: Eukaryota; Fungi.
AUAAAAGUUGAAUGUUAUUCACCUUCCAAUCCGAGUACUUGUACGUGUUGCUUUCGUGGGCGGCAGGAAAUGAUUCCAAGUGCCUAGCCUUUGAUGUGGACCCACGGAAGGCUUUCUAAAUUCUGUUAUUUUGUAUCGUCAGUCUGAUAGUUGUUUAUUGAAUAAACGUUA